UCCGGAGGGCGCAAUCGUUGUUCGGAAUCACUGGGCGUAAAGCGCGUGUAGGCGGCUUGGCAAGUCGGAUGUGAAAUCCCGAGGCUCAACCUCGGAACUGCACUCGAAACUGCCUGGCUCGAGUCCCGGAGAGGGUGGCGGAAUUCCCGGUGUAGGGGUGAAAUCCGUAGAUAUCGGGAGGAACACCAGUGGCGAAGGCGGCCACCUGGACGGUGACUGACGCUGAGACGCGAAAGCGUGGGGAGAAAACCGG
This 253-nucleotide ribosomal RNA is filed under the name uncultured bacterium. Its description in RNAcentral is "partial 16S ribosomal RNA". It matches the Rfam family "Bacterial small subunit ribosomal RNA", at positions 524 to 776 of the family's 1533-position model. The record is from RNAcentral.